GAUGAACGCUGACAGAAUGCUUAACACAUGCAAGUCAACUUGAACUUCGGUUUGGGUGGCGGACGGGUGUGUACCGCGUAAAGAACUUGCCUCACAGCUAGGGACAACAUUUGGAAACGAAUGCUAAUACCUGAUAUUAUGAUUAUAUGGCAUCGUAUAAUUAUGAAAGCUAUAUGCGCUGUGAGAGAGCUUUGCGUCCCCUUAGCUAGUUGGAGAGGUAACAGCUCACCAAGGCGAUGAUGGGUAGCCGGCCUGGGACGGUGAUCUGCCACAAGGGGACGGGGACACGACCCUUACUGAUACGGGAGGCAGCAGUGGAGAAUAUUGGACGAAAGACCGAGAGUCUGAUGCAGCAAUUCUGUGUGCAAGAUGAAGUUUUUCGGGAAGAAAAGUGCUUUCAGUUGGGAAGAAAAAAAUGACGGUACCAACAGAAGAAGUGACGGCUAAAUACGUG
Molecule: ribosomal RNA, 454 nt
Filed under: uncultured bacterium
Lineage: Bacteria
Description: partial 16S ribosomal RNA
Rfam family: Bacterial small subunit ribosomal RNA
Source: RNAcentral